CUUCCACAAACAUCUACUUCAAAUUAUUGUUUCUGAGGGUGAUUCUACAAGUUAGUCAGUUGAGUUCUAGGAAAACAUUCUUCUGUGCAUAACUGCAUGUGCUGAAGUCAGAAGAGAGCCAGCGUUCUGAAAAUAUGUGCAUGUGUAUGGACGAAUUAAAUGCCUCGAUUCUGCCUCUAUCGGAUAUCGGAUUUCAGAAUCUUUAUUGUAAACUCCCUCCUCUCUGUCCACGUAGAAAUGAUUAUUUAGCAGGGAUUAUAUAAAUACUGGAGUGUUUCACAACCGCAUCACACUCCUCAGUUCACCAUGGACAGAAAAGUGCUGUUGCUCCUGUUGAGUCUGCUGGUUUUCCUGCUCAUCACAGCCUUCACUUCCACAGAUGCGGCCACUCUGCCAGACGAUCCUCAGAAACAAUCUCUGGAUGUGGGAAUAACCAGGGAUGACAGACGAAAGGAAAGAGAAAGAGUCAAACGACAGUCCUGUGCCUUAAGGCCUGGUGGAUGUUCCAUCCUCGGCCUACGGCCCAUGCCUAAUAUUCCUGGUUAUAAGAACGGUGAAACAACAUCAAAACCUCUCCAGGCCGUUCUGAAGAAAAACUGAAAUGUUGUUUUCGAUAUACAGGACAAAAAAAGUGAUCUGAAGAAAAGCCAGACGAAACACCGGAGAGCUGAAAACUGAGACCUUUACCGACUACAUCUUUUCUCUGAGAGACAUUUCUUUCCUUGUUAAAAGAAAUGUUUUUCAUUGUUUCCAUGUACUGUUAUGAAGGCAAUAACCAGUGAAGCUUUGCAUGAUUUAAGAAAUCCCUAUAUUCUUCACUGAUAUGUAUACUUUAGCUCCCUGUAUCUGCAUUAAAAAAUCAAUAAUCUUCAGUAUGCAUUUGCACUUAUCACACCUGACUGAAGGAAAGCAUUAAUCAUUCAAACUUGCAGAAAGGUUUUAGGGCGUUACUCAUGUUCUUCAAUGAAAUAAUACGCUUUCUUCAAGUGCUGCUGAUUUCACAACAGUUCACUUUGUGUAUUCUGUGCUGCAAAAUAAAGCUGACUGGAGUAGAAAUUUUCAUCUUUGUGCAUCAUCUUUAACGGUGAAUAGAAAGCCAUAAAGCAUUAAACUUAAAAAAGCUGUCAUCGUGCAGCGCUCAGCUGGGUCAGUAAAUCCUGUAGAGUUCUGCAUAGUUUUAAAAGCAAAGCCGUG
Long non-coding RNA from Oreochromis aureus, 1194 nucleotides. Lineage: Eukaryota; Metazoa; Chordata; Actinopteri; Cichliformes; Cichlidae. The record is from Ensembl.